RNAcentral lists this transfer RNA (67 nucleotides) under Smerinthus planus. RNAcentral describes it as "tRNA-Ala". It matches the Rfam family "tRNA". Rfam says of the family: Transfer RNA (tRNA) molecules are approximately 80 nucleotides in length. Their secondary structure includes four short double-helical elements and three loops (D, anti-codon, and T loops). Lineage: Eukaryota; Metazoa; Arthropoda; Insecta; Lepidoptera; Sphingidae. The record is from RNAcentral.
AGGAUUAUAAUUUAAAUAAAAUAUUUGAUUUGCACUCAAAAAAUAUUGAAUAUAUCAAUUUAUCUUA